Molecule: ribosomal RNA, 796 nt
Filed under: uncultured archaeon
Lineage: Archaea
Description: bacterial SSU rRNA
Rfam family: Archaeal small subunit ribosomal RNA
Source: RNAcentral
ACGGCUCAGUAACACGUGGAUAACCUGCCCUUGGGUCCGGCAUAACCCCGGGAAACUGGGGAUAAUUCCGGAUAACGCACAUAUGCUGGAAUGCUUUAUGCGUAAAAUGGAUUCGUCUGCCCAAGGAUGGGUCUGCGGCCUAUCAGGUAGUAGUGGGUGUAAUGUACCUACUAGCCUACAACGGGUACGGGUUGUGAGAGCAAGAGCCCGGAGAUGGAUUCUGAGACAUGAAUCCAGGCCCUACGGGGCGCAGCAGGCGCGAAAACUUUACAAUGCGGGAAACCGUGAUAAGGGGACACCGAGUGCCAGCAUCAUAUGCUGGCUGUCCAGGUGUGUAAAAUACACCUGUUAGCAAGGGCCGGGCAAGACCGGUGCCAGCCGCCGCGGUAACACCGGCGGCCCGAGUGGUGAUCGUGAUUAUUGGGUCUAAAGGGUCCGUAGCCGGUUUGGUCAGUCCUCCGGGAAAUCUGACGGCUCAACCGUUGGGCUUUCGGGGGAUACUGCCAGGCUUGGAACCGGGAGAGGUAAGAGGUACUACAGGGGUAGGAGUGAAAUCUUGUAAUCCCUGUGGGACCACCUGUGGCGAAGGCGUCUUACCAGAACGGGUUCGACGGUGAGGGACGAAAGCUGGGGGCACGAACCGGAUUAGAUACCCGGGUAGUCCCAGCCGUAAACGAUGCUCGCUAGGUGUCAGGCAUGGCGCGACCGUGUCUGGUGCCGCAGGGAAGCCGUGAAGCGAGCCACCUGGGAAGUACGGCCGCAAGGCUGAAACUUAAAGGAAUUGGCGGGGGAGCAC